Molecule: long non-coding RNA, 1123 nt
Filed under: Marmota monax (woodchuck)
Lineage: Eukaryota; Metazoa; Chordata; Mammalia; Rodentia; Sciuridae
Source: RNAcentral
GUGACACUCAAGUACAAGUUUGUCAAUUAGAAUGAAGCAAAGGAAAGAAUGAUUAAAAGAAAAGAAAAUAAAAGACUUGUCAAAACAUUAUAUAGUUGCAAUAUUACAUUAUAUCUUGGGGUGUCUCAUUUGAUUAUUCAUUUAUUUUUCAAAUAAUCCUUAUUGAACAUAAUUUAUGGUGGUAGACACUAUGGUAGGCCAGGAACAUAUAGACAUAAAAUACAAUCCUGUCCUCAUGUUGCUGUUGGUUUAGUUGUAAUAAUACUAGAAUGAAAGGAAGUACAGGUUGCCAAGAGAAUGGGGAGCCUGGGCAAGGCUUCACUUUGGAAAGAUAAGUACACAGUUGUUCAUUUAAAUGGAUUUAAUGGAUGGUGGUGUGGUCUAUGUUGUGUGUGAAAGGCAAUUGCAAAUCUGGGAAAGUAUGUAUGAGGAAACCUGGUUCACUUGGGAAUGGAGAGAAUGAAGAAAUGGGUUUGGGGUAGAUUUGGAAGAUGAGGUUGGAAGAGGUGUGUCUGGCUCUCAAGAUUUCUUUUGCUUCAUCAGUGAGUAAGAAGAAUCACUGAAGGCUACUAGGCUGGGGAGCAGCAUUGAAAAGAAAGAAUAUUUGCCUGCUUAGUCCUCUCAUCUGGGCUUUUCUCUUAGCAGUCAAGGCCAGGCAUUUCAUGUAGGUCCCCUGUCCUAGGUAAUGACCCUGGGAGAUCUUAGAGAUUCCCUUCUUUCCUGUCCAGGGGUAACCUCUUGCCUAGCAGAGCCUAUAGCUCCUGCUCAAGAUACCUGAUCAGAGGAGCCCUCUUCAUUUUACUUCUUGGCUGCCUUGAACCUCAAAGGGACAUAAAUGGUUAAUAGAAUUCUGGGGCCUUGUUGGAAUAACUUUCGGUUUACUGCUAGCAGCUAGCAGCUAUGAGCAACUCGGAGUGCUUGAAAAAUCUAUGCUCAUUCAGGCCUGACAGGAACACCUGCAGGAUGGGGUACUCUGCUCUAGUGAGUCGUAAGUGAAACCUCAUCCUCAGCAUUUGUGGUUAGCAUGGCCAAACUACCGGGCCAGGAAACCAAGAGUCAGGAAACCCCUGACUCUGAAGGCCCCCUCCCCUAGGGACAAAGACCCUUCCAGACUGCUUUCCAC